This 322-nucleotide long non-coding RNA is filed under the name Vigna radiata. RNAcentral's name for it is "long non-coding RNA (VRAD_LNC013028)". Lineage: Eukaryota; Viridiplantae; Streptophyta; Magnoliopsida; Fabales; Fabaceae. The record is from RNAcentral.
GAAGAAAUGAGAGAAGUGUGGGGAAACCCUAGGAAAAGAAAAAGAGAAGGAGUUGAAGGGAAGUGUGAGGCAUACAUUCUCUAUCUUUUGUUACUUGCAUAUUAGAAACUCCAAAACUCCCAAACAUGGAGGAAGAAACCCUAAAUGAGUGAAAAUGUAGAGGAUCACGAGCAUAAGAAACUGAAAACGAGUGAUUGACAAAAGCAACGAAAGAAGACGGACCAGAGUGAGACUACCAAUGAAGAAAGAACAAAGUCAAAAAUAUUAUGUCGAUUACAAAAUGACCUAUCAUAAUAUAUUUAUUUUAAAUUAAAAAUAAUAU